RNAcentral lists this long non-coding RNA (473 nucleotides) under Setaria viridis. RNAcentral describes it as "long non-coding RNA (SVIR_LNC006293)". Lineage: Eukaryota; Viridiplantae; Streptophyta; Magnoliopsida; Poales; Poaceae. The record is from RNAcentral.
CGGGAAAGAGAAGAAAAGAGGGGGGAUAAGAGAGGCAUCCUUCUCCCUUUGGCCUUUGUCUAGGCUUUUUUGAAAUCACUGGAUACCAUAUUCGUCCAACUGAGGGAGCUAUAGUUCGUACCAAAGAUAUUUUAAGACCCCAAUUAAGUUUUUAUGACUCAUAGUAGUUUUUAUGCAUUUGUAUUACAUGCCAUCUUUGGUUGUGGACUUAAACACAUUGAUGAAACCAGUGACCAUGGGCUCCCCUUUUUUGGUAAAAAGGUUGUCGUGCAUCUGUUCCACUUCUGUGAUCCCUUGCCACUGAUUUAGGAACCUCAAAAAUCUUUGUGAGAUGCCCGUUGCUUGAAGUGGCACGGCCCAGUGGCUAGGGUAUGGUGUAUGCCAUGCUAUAUCCCAUGGAAUAUUUUGGUGUUUCCUCUGUCUUCAUCUUCGUUUUGGAACUUUGGCCUCUCAAGUUCUAGAUCUUCAGAUAU